Molecule: long non-coding RNA, 1915 nt
Filed under: Homo sapiens (human)
Lineage: Eukaryota; Metazoa; Chordata; Mammalia; Primates; Hominidae
Description: non-protein coding lnc-EML5-4:1
Source: RNAcentral
GGAGUUGAUCUCUGUCUGGUGUCUGUCCUACUUCUUCCAUUCGCUCGUUUCCAUCCCUUUCGCUUUACCUUCCGAUUCUAGAAAUACAAACAAGUAAACAGCUUCCACAGUACCAUCCACCCAUCAAGACCUAAAGUCCUAAAUCCUGAAAUUGUCCGCUGUUUCUCGAGGUCCUUCCCACCGAAUCUCAACAUCUGAACUGCAAGUGGUUUGCUUUUACUCAUUUUACAGAUGAGAAACUGAGAUAGACUCAGAGAAGAGAAAUUAUUAAAAUUGCAUUGAGUUAGGGAGCUGGAACUGCAAUCUGGUUGACUACAAGUUGCUAAUACAUUUGUUAAUUCGACUCACAUGGUGAUUCCGGAUUGUAAAUUGGUGACAGUUUUACCAAACUAGAUAAUGUGUGCAAAAUAAUAAUAAUAAUAAUAAUAAUAAUAAUUUUUAAAAGCUUUGUGAAACAUCGUCUCCUGGCACUUGCUGUUUGGCAAGGGUUUACUUGUGCAGAGUGAUUUCUUCAAACACAAUUCUGACUUUUCUCUAGAAAUUUGCACAGAUGACAAAUAUGCUUAAAAUUGCAAUGGUUAUGAAAAGAGAGGUGUGACCGGCUAAAUCCAGGUAGGCUUUUCUCAAACCACUGGGGUCUGAGAAAACAUUAGACAUUCUAUUUAAUCCACAUAUUUAUAUUUUUCAUAGGUAUUAAAAUGAAACUUAUGCUUCUAAACUAAGAAAUUUAUUGUUACCUUUUAUUCUCUACUAAGCAGUCUUUCUUGAAUUGUUGUAUUUUGGAAGUCAGUAAUUAUCAGGAUUGUCAUUGUUACAGUUAAGUGUAUUGUCAUUAGUCUAUUUGUGUUCUCCUGGAACUGCCGGUAGAAAUGUAAUCUCCCUAAAGGUCCUAAUGAAGCAGCCCAUGGUUUCUGAGUGUCAAAUUUUUAAGAACGCACAUGCCGACAAUUGACAAUUGGGCUCAAUAUUUCACAGCGUCUUUUUGUUUUCUGGUACACUGUAAGCAGAUUACUAUGUAAGUGAUUUUCAACCCUACUAGAGAAAGUGAAGCACAGAGAAACCCUUUAAAAGGGUCAGUUUCACAAAUGAUGCUAGAUCUCAGUUCAUAGAUCCUUAUCUUUUACUCUCUAGCAUAUAGUCAGAUGUUCUAAAUAAACUUUUUUAAAGAAUAGUUUUCGAUUUACAGAAAAGUCACAAAAAUAGUAGACAGUUCCCAUAUACCCAGUUUCUCUAUUGUGUGAGAUGUUGACAUUUGUUUUAGUGUAAGAUGAUACAUUUGUUACAACUAAGGAAUCAACAAUGGUACAUUACUAUUAAAUAAACUCCACAGUUUAUUUGGAUUUCAGUAGUUUUCCCUUAAUGUUAUUUCUCUAUUCCAGGAUCUCACUUAGGGUACCACAUAACAUUCGGUUAUCAUGUCUCCUUCACCUCCUCUGACACUGUGGCAGUUUUUUAGACAUUCCUUGUUUAUGAUGACCUUGACAGUGUUGAAAAGUGCUGGUCAAGUAUUUUGUAGAAUAUCUGAGAAGUUCUUAAAAAUAGAGAUGUCCCAAUUCCAGCCCUAGAAAUAUUGACUUAAAUUGUUUGAGGUAGGACUGGGGCAUCGGUUUUGUUUUUUUAAGUGUCUCAGGUGAUUCUGAUGGGUAGCCAGGAUUAAUCACCCACUACAUUGAGUUCUAGUCAUGUAUCUAUUGAGAUUAUUGCCAACUUCCUACAGAGAAACACUAUUUACAUAAGUGGGGAAAUAAACAUGCCAAUAAACAUAUAAAUAAAUGUGGAACAAAUGAGGCAUUAAAAUAUUUUAGUAGCAUAUAAUGUGUGUUAACUUCUUUCAGAAGGCUGUUUUUUUCCUCUCACAAAAGUCAAAUGAAUGAGGAAAAUUGUAGGAUAUUUAGUAAAUUACAGGAUGUUAAAC